Non-coding RNA from Schistosoma rodhaini, 45 nucleotides. The record is from Rfam. NCBI's taxonomy places the organism in Eukaryota, Metazoa, Platyhelminthes, Trematoda, Strigeidida, Schistosomatidae.
AUCCAGAUGACGAAACCCAAAUAAGACGAAACGUGCGUCCUGGAU